This 235-nucleotide long non-coding RNA is filed under the name Elaeis guineensis (African oil palm). RNAcentral's name for it is "long non-coding RNA (EGUI_LNC054679)". Lineage: Eukaryota; Viridiplantae; Streptophyta; Magnoliopsida; Arecales; Arecaceae. The record is from RNAcentral.
UUUUUGUUUAAUUUCUCCCCCUUUUUGACAUCAUCAAACACGGUUAACUCUUCCUUUUUCUGAAAUAUUUUAUAAUUUCUUCCCCUUUAGAGUUUUUCACAGAUGUUUGCUCCCCCUUAAUAUAGCAAUUAUCAACAGCAAACAACAACAAAGAGAAGACAAUUUUUCCACAAGAAGAAUAUAUAUAACCAAAAUAUGAUCAAUAUUAUUACAAAAAGGUAGAAAUAUAAGUAAA